UCCGGAUGCAUGCACCCUCGCCGUACGUAUAGCAGUGUUCGGUGUUGUCCCAGCCCAUGUGUGACUACAGUAAUGAUUAUCAUGUCAAACAGGUACUGCUUAACACAAUGCAGCUUCAAGCACGACACAGCAAAGAGAGCACACUAAUGCUGCAAUCAUUUGCAUGGUGGAAAACAGAUCGCUUUGCCACGCUUCUUCAUUAUAUCCCCGGAAAAAUGCCAAGCUAAGCACUUUUGUUUUCCGGUUAGCUUGUUCACGAGCGGUGUGCUGGCUCGUGUCCUAAAAAUAUCUUCAGAGAAUGCUGUUCCACCACCUCUCAAGUACGUCAUUCGGGAAGGGCGACGCCAUCCAUCUCGUCCCGUUGUUCAAGUGGUAGUUUGAAACGGGGUUCCCCCGGCAUGUUUAGCCGGGCCACGGACACCGAGCAUUUUCUUGCGAAUCGACUUAAUUAUGGUUUCUACUCACCCAGAAAUAUGUAUAGCCGCGGCACGUUCGUUUUCUCCUCUGCAAGCUUGAAGAAUUGUGUCCACGGUUUCGAUUCGUCCUUCAGCGACGACUCGAUCGAUCCUCGAAUUUCUUCCACUUUGUUAGCCAUGGCGAUGUUUUAUGUGCUGUUGCUUCUUCUUUCUGCCUAAUGUUUGGCCGGUGAUUCCCCGCAAGAUGAUGUAAUGACAAUUUAUCGUAAUCACCAGGCGUAUGGAUUGGACCACCGGCGAAGCAUCGUUGUCAUCGUUACACGGGUGGCAGGCCGGCAAUACGAUAGCAUUGGAAAGGAAAUAAAAAUAAGGACAGAAAA
This is a long non-coding RNA of Anopheles gambiae (African malaria mosquito), 796 nucleotides long. RefSeq lists it as uncharacterized. The record is from RefSeq and is a predicted model, not a curated record. The transcript is spliced from 2 exons. NCBI's taxonomy places the organism in Eukaryota, Metazoa, Arthropoda, Insecta, Diptera, Culicidae.